Molecule: ribosomal RNA, 440 nt
Filed under: uncultured bacterium
Lineage: Bacteria
Description: partial 16S ribosomal RNA
Rfam family: Bacterial small subunit ribosomal RNA
Source: RNAcentral
CCUACGGGGGGCAGCAGUGGGGGAUAUUGCACAAUGGGGGAAACCCUGAUGCAGCGACGCCGCGUGUGGGAAGACGGUCUUCUGGAUUGUAAACCACUGUCCCCAGGGACGAAAAUGACGGUACCUGGGGAGGAAGCUCCGGCUAACUACGUGCCAGCAGCCGCGGUAAUACGUAGGGAGCAAGCGUUGUCCGGAAUUACUGGGUGUAAAGGGAGCGUAGGCGGGGAUGCAAGUUGGGUGUCAAAACUACCGGCUCAACCGAUAGUCGCACUCAAAACUGCAACUCUUGAGUGAAGUAGAGGCAGGCGGAAUGCCUAGUGUAGCGGUGAAAUGCGUAGAUAUUAGGAGGAACACCAGUGGCGAAGGCGGCCUGCUGGGCUUUUACUGACGCUGAGGCUCGAAAGUGUGGGGAGCAAACAGGAUUAGAUACCCUUGUAGUC